This is a long non-coding RNA of Panicum hallii, 406 nucleotides long. RefSeq lists it as uncharacterized. The record is from RefSeq and is a predicted model, not a curated record. The transcript has 3 exons. Lineage: Eukaryota; Viridiplantae; Streptophyta; Magnoliopsida; Poales; Poaceae.
UGGCUAGUGGUAUCAUCCUCACGGUUGCCGCCGCUACCGGAAGCUCUGGGAAGACAGGAUCAUGGCCUCCACUAAGCACAUGGUGCCAUGCAUCUACCUAGGAAGCCAGGCGCUGGUCCCCCCUCUUCCUCUCCAGCGACUGAUGUGAAGAAUGUUGCUGUAAAGGUUCUCUUGCAUCUUACACUCAAGCUGGACCAUCCCAGGGAUUGCGGAAGCGUGUAGGAUAAAUUGAGUGUUUAGGCAAAGGUUUUGCACAGGUAUGAAAUGGACCCCUCGCAGAAAACGGAGACCAAAUGAGUGUAGAUGGCGACGUGGGCAUUGGAGGUAUCCGGAAUUCAGGUUCAAGAUGAUCUUAUCCAUCUUGGAGAUGCAAUGGCAACCGUUGAUUGCUGACGGGAGCCAGCAG